Molecule: unclassified non-coding RNA, 229 nt
Filed under: plant metagenome
Description: partial contains small subunit ribosomal RNA, internal transcribed spacer 1, and 5.8S ribosomal RNA
Source: RNAcentral
UCUCCGUAGGUGAACCUGCGGAGGGAUCAUUACAGAAUUCUCGCCCUCGCGGGUAGAUCUCCCACCCACUGUUAUCGUUACUGUGUUGCUUUGGCGGGCCGCCGGGCCCCGCUCGGCCGCCGGCUCCGGCUGGCGCGCGCCCGCCAGAGGCCCAGCAAACUCUGAAUGUUAGUGUCGUCUGAGUACUAUAUAAUAGUUAAAACUUUCAACAACGGAUCUCUUGGUUCUG